Molecule: RNA transcript, 1419 nt
Organism: Musa acuminata AAA Group (dessert banana)
Lineage: Eukaryota; Viridiplantae; Streptophyta; Magnoliopsida; Zingiberales; Musaceae
Exons: 7
Source: RefSeq, a predicted model, not a curated record
GGCGGAUCCCGUUACAUACGGCCGAUUCCAUCUUUUGGAGAAGCGAAACCCGAUGUCACCGUCGGCGAGACCUCAGUCUCUUCGUCUUAUGGAAGAGCGACCGAGCCUCGCUGUUGCUACCGCUGCUGGCCGAGGGGCUUCCCCGGUUUAGGUUGAGUUCUUCAUCGACUACCUUACCACCACUUCUUCCGCCCUUGCGAUCGAUGCACAUCCAUCACGUAGCUACUGACGAAGGCUAAAGAGAGGGCAUCAUCAAGAUUGCUGGAAUCUUAAAUAACUUACAAGUGGAAGAGCCAGCAACGCGACUGAUGUGAUCAUGCAUCAUAUGGGCAUUCCUCAGAUAAAUGUGUUGGACCAAGAGUGCAGGUUGGUAUGGUGACACCUAUGUGCCUUCAUCUAACAUCUGAAGAUCUGCUAGACAAGCUUUAGCUUCCAGUACCCGAUGAAGCUUUGUCACUGCUUAUGGGAAUGGGUUACAAAGAAAAUGCAGCGAAAAGGGCCCUAAGAAUGACCGGUCAAGACGUUCAGCCAGCAGUUCAUUUCCUGGUUGAAGAGGAAGCUAGGAAAAUACUCAGGAAACAGGAGAACAUUCAGCGACAAGUGGAGAUUUUGUAUGGCUCUAUACUUUGCCAUAGAAUGUUUUUAUCUUAUUUUUUAAUUAAUGAUUGUUGCUGAUUGUAUAAAUUUGUAGAGAACAGAGGAGAUAUGGUACUAAUAAAUCAUGGCAUAUAGCAUAAUGUGACAGAUGUAAUGGCUUUGCUUCUGUGGAUUGUGAAACAUUAUAUUGUGUUAGGCACUUAUCAGAUUGCUCUCUGGUGUCUAGGAUCAAUACAUGUACACUGCUAGUCAUUCUAUUUUGCAGUUUUGAUAGAGAUCUUGCUGCACAGGCUCUUAGGGUGAAUGAAAAUGAAGUUCAAAAAGCAUUAGAUCUGUUGACAAAUCCUGAAAGAAAUUGUGCCCUCCAGUUGGGAGUAUUGGAUUCAUCAGGUGCAGACAUUGAGGAAUUAGUAUCCAUGGCGUAUAACCGAUCAUCAGGAGGAUGCGUUGAGACUUCUUGUCGGAGCAAAUUCAGAGGACAGCCAGCAUGCUAUAAUCAACCAACCGAAAGAUGAUCAAGGGCCAUCAGCCGCUUUAGCUAAUGAUGAUAAAAUGGAUCUGGGAGGAGAACACAAAUAUGAGAGAGACGAAGCCAUGGAAGACGAGCUUGCGAGAGAACUGACCGGUGAUCCAUUGGCAGACUACGACAGGGAAGUAAUGAAAGAAGGAGAGGCCAUAGCAAAGUAUUUGGCCCUUCUGGAUUCAAAAGCCAAUGCAACAUAGGAAAUAAGAUACAUAGGUUCUUCCAGAAUCCCGUAAAUAAGUAAGAUAGUGUAGUUUCCUUUUGUAUCUUCCAGCAUUAAUAUAGUAUUAUAAAAGAUA